This 313-nucleotide long non-coding RNA is filed under the name Ananas comosus (pineapple). RNAcentral's name for it is "long non-coding RNA (ACOM_LNC005054)". Lineage: Eukaryota; Viridiplantae; Streptophyta; Magnoliopsida; Poales; Bromeliaceae. The record is from RNAcentral.
AUAGUUUUGUUAUUGCAUUACAAUAAAUCUUACACUUGAGAACACUUUAAAUAAUAACUAGCGAAAUUUUAAAGCGUCGGCAAGAAUAAUUUCAAAGCGUCGAGUAAAGAGUUCGUUAAGUAAAUAUGUCGGGAUAAAUAUACCGACGCUUUAAUAUAAUGUCGAAAAAUUUUUAUCAGUAUUUGAUAAAAAUAUGUUUAUUAGCGACGUUUAAUUAUGGUGUCGGCACAUACCAAAUAUUAAAAACGCUAGAAUAGAGUGUCGUCUAAAAAACAUUAUCUAAAAUAUAUUUUGUUGUAGUGCUGUAUUGUUC